CAGGACGAACGCUGGCGGCGUGCCUAAUACAUGCAAGUCGAACGGUCUUUCUAUGGAAGCUUGCUCCACUGAGAAGAUAGUGGCGAACGGGUGAGUAACACGUGGGUAACCUGCCCAUAAGAGGGGGAUAACAUCCGGAAACGGGUGCUAAUACCGCAUAGUUUUCUUGAUCGCAUGAUCGGGAAAGGAAAGACGGCCUUUGUGCUGUCGCUUAUGGAUGGACCCGCGGCGUAUUAGUUAGUUGGUGAGGUAACGGCUCACCAAGACGAUGAUACGUAGCCGACCUGAGAGGGUGAUCGGCCACAUUGGGACUGAGACACGGCCCAAACUCCUACGGGAGGCAGCAGUAGGGAAUCUUCCGCAAUGGACGAAAGUCUGACGGAGCAACGCCGCGUGAGUGAAGAAAAGGUUUUCGGAUCGUAAAACUCUGUUGUCAGAGAAGAACAAGUUGGAGAGUAACUGCUCCAGCCUUGACGGUAUCUGACCAGAAAGCCACGGCUAACUACGUGCCAGCCGCUGC
Molecule: ribosomal RNA, 520 nt
Filed under: uncultured bacterium
Lineage: Bacteria
Description: bacterial SSU rRNA
Rfam family: Bacterial small subunit ribosomal RNA
Source: RNAcentral